UUACCUGCCUGGGGAGAUCCUGCAGGAUAAGACUCCUCCACUGCAUGUCAGAUGUACUUGUCCCUGUGAUUUUCCCAAAGGAAGGAAACACGAGUACACAGCUUGUGGUAGUGGGGACUGUGAUCCCUAUCUCCUUU
Molecule: small nuclear RNA, 137 nt
Filed under: Mus caroli (Ryukyu mouse)
Lineage: Eukaryota; Metazoa; Chordata; Mammalia; Rodentia; Muridae
Description: predicted gene, 24691 (MGP_CAROLIEiJ_G0035411.1)
Source: RNAcentral